Molecule: long non-coding RNA, 210 nt
Filed under: Elaeis guineensis (African oil palm)
Lineage: Eukaryota; Viridiplantae; Streptophyta; Magnoliopsida; Arecales; Arecaceae
Description: long non-coding RNA (EGUI_LNC030520)
Source: RNAcentral
CCACAUGCCCAAAUUAUAAAACUAUUGACCAAUUAUUAGAUUUCUAAAAUUAACAAUUAUUAGAUUUCUAAAAUUCUUGCUGAAUCCCAUAAGAUCUAGUAAUUCCGCAUUGGACCAGAAUUCUAUAUGGUGGUCCAUCUUCUCUUUCUAAGCCUUCCUCUUACGAAAUUUUCUUAUGAACUAGGUACAAAACCCUAAAAAUUGAAUCCA